UUGCGGGGUGAGACGUCGGAAGUCGCGCAGAAUAAAAUAACAACUCACACUAUCUCUUAACAUUCCAAGUGAUCUUCGAAUGCAAUCAUGUCAUGCAAUAUGCGAUCUUAAAGUAAUAUAGAAUUCGUGCGUUGUUUGCAUGUUUUUGUUUUCGGGUUUAUCAACAUCACCUCAACGCCGAACUUUUUGUGCGCAAGUCCGGCGCAGGAAGCGGCGCAGCGAAACAAGUUAACGCGCAACGCACGCUCAGCAUCAUCAUUCAGUGCGCGACAUUGUCUGCAGUUACACCUCCGCUAAUAACAUUGUCAAUAAUUUAUUAAAUCAGUAAAAAAGUGUUGCUACCAAGUGAAAAACAUUCCUCGAGGCACUCACAAGUAAGUUUCUUGCAUUAUUUUCAUUUCGCAUUUUGAUUAAAUCUGUAAUUCGUAAAAUUUGCACGCUGCAUUGUUUUAUGCGGCGUUAGACGCGUAUUUGUAAUAUGGCCGCUAUUCAAACGUCGUUUUCACGUUCGUAACCACCAAGUUGCAUCAUCACAUAAAUCAAAUCAUGUACUUGCAAUGCGUCUAAUUGGAAUAUUCGGAUGUAAUUUUAUUGUGCAAUCGACAUGUGGUAUGGGGUGACCGCAGUUUCACCUUCUCGAAGUGUACGCGGCGAAGUUAUCAGCUGUUUGUUUGCUUUUCACAUGUUUCAAACGGUAACUUGUAGAGUGCCAAUUGUGCAGCACUGCUAACACAAAGAGACGCCAUGUUGUUGUUUUGAAUUUAACAUUCCAACAUUCCAACUCCAUUCGGCACUGCUGAUAACGCACACUUAUUUUUAUUUUCUAGCCUUACAUUUAUCAUUUACUUAUUCUUUAGUAUUUUGUUAUAUUUUAAUUCUGUUUUAUUUUCUGUUUAUUGCGUGCGACGUUGUUGAUGGUGCAUUACGAUCGGUUUCUCAAUCCACUUCUUGAAAACGUUCCUGUUUUCCAUCGCAGAUGACAUUUCAAGGUCACCCACAAGAUGUCCAGAAUUAGUCUUACUUUCCCAAGAAUGGAAAAAGGUACAUAUUCGAUAUAUUGGGGCAUUUUUGUAAUUCGGGCGCGUUCGUUUUCGGUUUAUGUACUUUUUGUGUCUACUAAUAUUUCACACCUUCAUGUUUUAAGUAACUACCUCUUAAUAUUUUUAUUACUUUAUUAUUUUCUAAUUCUUUUAAUAUUCUUAUUUUUCAUAAUUUAAAAAAAUCCUUGCCAAUUUA
Molecule: long non-coding RNA, 1236 nt
Organism: Dalotia coriaria
Lineage: Eukaryota; Metazoa; Arthropoda; Insecta; Coleoptera; Staphylinidae
Exons: 3
Source: RefSeq, a predicted model, not a curated record